GUUGCUUGCUUGCUUUACACAUAUUGAAACUGGACCAAUAGGGAAAAGAUUAGCAUGGCCCCUGAGCAAGGAUGAGACACAAGUUCAUUAAGCAUUCCAUAUUUUU
Molecule: small nuclear RNA, 106 nt
Organism: Perognathus longimembris pacificus (Pacific pocket mouse)
Lineage: Eukaryota; Metazoa; Chordata; Mammalia; Rodentia; Heteromyidae
Source: RefSeq, a predicted model, not a curated record